AUGCUAGGCGUCGGCGCACCGGCCGAAAGUUUCGGUCGGUCCAGCCCCAGCCCUUGGAUGCGAGCCCGCGUGGCCACUGGAUGUAGCAAAAAAAACACGAUUCGUCCUGGGCUUCUUCUACCUCGGGUUAGAUCUGUAGCUCCUGCUCGGUGCCCUCGUCGCCGCGCCUCCAGUCCCCUCUGGUGGCCGUCCUCGUCGCCGGUCUCCGUCCUCGUCGCCGGCUCGCGGCCCUCGCCCCCGGUCGCCGUCCUUGUUGCCGCCAGGUCGCCGUCCUUGCCCCCGAUUGCCGAUCUUCGUCCUUGUUGCCGCCCGGUCGCCGUCCUCGCCUCCGGUCGCCGUCCUCGUCGCCCCCGGUCGCCGUCCUUGCCGCUCCUGGUCGCCGGUCGCCGUCCUCGCCGUCACCGUUUUCCAGCAAAUCUAAUGGCCGGUUCCAGCAAAAAUUCUGCGGAUGUCACCGUUUGA
RNAcentral lists this ribosomal RNA (462 nucleotides) under Triticum aestivum (bread wheat). Its description in RNAcentral is "partial small subunit ribosomal RNA". The record is from RNAcentral. Lineage: Eukaryota; Viridiplantae; Streptophyta; Magnoliopsida; Poales; Poaceae.